UUUUCAUUUUGUCUGCACCAGCCUGGGCGCAGGCGAGCGCGGGAGAGAGGGAGGGAGAGGGAGGCGCACGCCAACAGAAAGCUGCCGUGCUCAGACGCGGGCCUGCGGCCACGUCCCUCCGCAGCCGCCCCAGCAGCCGUUCCCGCUCCCUCGUCCCCCUCUCCCUGCCCACCCGGCUUCGCCUGCCAAGUCCGAGUUGGCACGGCUCCCCCGGCUGCGCCGAACAAAGCCGUCACCCAUCCCCGAGCCGGCGCUGACAGUAAGCAAAGUGACAGGCGCAUCUUCCGCAUGUUAAUCCAAACGGCGAGAAGGCGAGCGAGCGGCAGAGGCCCCCCCGUGCCAUGCACACACACACCCCCCCCCACCGAGCCACGCACCCCACCCUUGGCACCCGACAGCCCCGGUGGCCUCGUGCGGGGAUGGCGAGGCCCCCGCCGGCGGGAGCACUGAAGCCUCCUCGUCGGCGAGGUUUAAAUUGAGCCGAAGCCCUGCUCGGCGGGCAAACGAGGCCACUCGGCAUCUGCUGUACCUGUUCCCGCUGCCUUCAUCUCGCCUUGGAACCGUGACAAGAGCGCACUCGCCUCUGGUGGGCUCUCAAAGCCGCGGGUCUGUAACCCUUUGCAGGAAGUUGGCACCGAUCCCAGGAAUUAUUUGCCUACGUGGAGCUCGGCGCUGCGGGAGAACAGAGCAAACAGCCUUAUCGAGGGCAGCUGUGCCACAGGGCACUUCCUCAUGUGUGGCUGCAAGAUGGGGCCCUCCAUGGCUGCGGGGGGGCUGGCAGCCCCUAGCCUUCCCACUGACCAGACACCAGGGACACACCAGGCACUGUCCAGGCAUCAGGAGAGCUCUCUGGGAUGUUUCCCUCCCGGUUCCACGGCGGGAGAGCAGCACAGCCACGAGGGGGUUUGGACUGGACUGAAAGGUCUUCAGCAGGCCGAUUUGCAGGGGAAACAGUCGCUCUGAGCUCAGCUGCACCUCCCUGGGCACAAAGGCUCAUCUCGUUGCUUCCCAGAUCCUGCCAGACUCAAGUGCCCAAGCCCGGCGGAGAGACAGACCAGCCUUGACCUGAGAUUCCCUCUCCUGGCUGCUGCCGCUGCCUCCCUUCUCCCCCAGGCAGCUGGGAGCAGAUGAGGCCAAAGUCCCAGCAAUCUCAGUUUUCCACUGGAGGCUGAUAAACGGCACGGGCACGGAACGGCAGCGAUCCCCACCCAACCUGGCUUUGUGCAGGAGAGUCAAUAUUUAAACCAGAGUUUGUUUCCUGGGCAGACAGGGGAGUGCCAGUGGGAGAAAUCCCCGGCUCCAUCCUGGGCGCCAGACCCAAACCUCCUCCUCCACCCCUUCAUUUGUUCUCCCGACCACGUUCCACCCUGGAUCCCCUCUCCUAUGGGAAUGGGGCCCCAUCCCCUUCAGCUGGGAUACCUGAGCACUGACUAAUGGGCAGCAAUUUAAGGGAGAGGGAUGCCCAGCCAGGGUUUGGGUUGUCUCCUUGCCUGCUCCUGGUGGAGAUAAUUUGUCCCCUCAAACGAAGCAUGGGACAACAAUCAAGGAUAGAAAUAGGAGGUGAGGAAAUAUUCAAUCAUGCUAAGAAUGGCAGCCCCUGCUUCAAAGUAAGGCAGUGCACUGAAAGCUUUGAAACCUGGUUUUCAUUUAAAUUGAGCAAAAACUAUAGUCAACUGUUGAGUUUUCAGCCAAGUUUGUGGGCCCUGAUGAAAUGGGCAGAAAUUACUGGCAGGAUGCAUGCACUGGUGCAGCUUUAGGUAAAUUCCUUAGGUAAAUUCCUCAAAGGACAGGAAAUAGCACCUUUCCAUGCAGUAGCUGCAGUCAGGCAGUGCAGAGGCUGCAUGAGGUUUCACAGGCAUGUGACCAGCAGAAGGUGGCUUUAAUUUGGAGGAUAAAGGUCCAUGCUCCUGAGCAGGUGCUGUGUGACCUGGGAGAUGCAAUGCCCUGUGUUGGAGCAGGUCAUAAAACAAGGUGAUAAAAGGCCAGUGGGGAAGGAUGGAGCUGUCAGGGGGAAGAUGGAAUGGCUGAGCCCAGAUGACGGGUCUGGCAGCAGCAAAGGGUCUCCAUCACCCCUUCCAGAAGACCUGAGGGUCAAUUUUAACUCCAGAAACCUAAUUUCACAUACAUUGUUUGAAGCAGCCAGGCGCUCUGCUGCCUCCCCGCUCACUCCAGGUGCACCCACUGCAGUUUGCUCAGCCUAAAUAUGCCCACCUUCCAUGGAGGUGGGGAAAAUCAGGGGGGAAAUGAGUUUUAAACAGCUGGUUUAGCCCAUGCUUUGGGGAAAAAACCAAAAGAAGUGCCUGUCUUAAACUUUCUGUGAGUGAGGAAGCACAUUAUGCAAGAAAAAAAAAUCAAAAAAAAAAAAAAAAGGAAAGACCCAAUAAUUGUUUUAUAGCUGUAUUUUGGAGCAUAAUUAAAUCCUCUUUGAAAUCAUCUCUGGUGUUAGGGAACAGGUCCAUGCAUUAUUUAACUGUAACACAAACUGGGAGGGAGGGAGGACAAACAGGACCAAUUUCACAACACCGAAGGGAGCUGGGUGGGGGCUGCCAGUCCCAGCACAUACCACCACCGUCCUGCAAGCCUGGCUGGGGGUGUGCAUCGACCCUGCCUGCUGGAGAAAAAACCCCCUGUGAUGGCAGGACCCCAGAGGACCGGGAUGAGAUGUGACCCCAGCUGCUGCUGCUGCAGCACAUGGGAACCUGCUCAAGGAACCCUAAACCUCUUCCCAGGGAGUACAGCAUCACCUCUGUGCAAAAGACUGCUUCAUGGGGAACUGAAAUGGGGGAAAUCUGCCUGGCUGCCAUCACAGCACAGACUGGUGCAAAAAAACUCUUGUCUGGCAGCUCAGCAUCAAUCAAACCUCUGCCACUGGUGAGCUCUGCUACACACACAGAGCCAGCCUUGCUCCACUGAGCACCAGGAGGCCUCGACCCUGAUGCCUCGCCAGCCUUUGGCCAGCUCAAGGUUUAUCCCUUUAGUGCAGACAGCCCUGGAUGGCUGCCCCUGCUGCAGGAGAGCCCUUUGUGUGCAGCUCUCCGAUCCCGGCGGCUCCGUUUCCCUCAGCAAUGGGAGCAGGAGCCCAGCAGGGCUCGUGCUGCUGCUGGCUGGGAGAUGCCCCUCAGCGCAGCCAGGCCAGUCCAACCCAGCACCCACCUCCCCUGAGAGUGUGCAGGCUGCCUGCCCAGCCCACAGCUCUGCUGGGUGCAUCCUAAGCACAGCCCAUUCCAUGACUGAAAUCCUGCCCAAAGCAGCACCGGUGGCAGCGCGUGUCCCUUCCCAAGGGCUCUCUCCGUGUCCACAGCCCAACGCUGCCCUGAGCUGGGCCAGACCCGUCUCUUUGGGACUCUGCUGUUCUCUGUAGUGGGAAUCUGUUUCCCUUCCCUGUUUUGAUCCUAUAAUUUCCUAAAUUCACACCCAUGGGAGGUGGGGUGCUCCCGGGUGUUCAGGUACCCUCAAACCUUAAAUAUGGAUGCCAGGUUGAUCUUGCCCAGGAUGAGCUACCUGCCAGGCAAAGGUGCUCUCUCCAGAAAGGAUGAGGCAGGAGGCUGUCACCUGGUAUAACCUUCCCAGUGAGAUGACCUUGGAUCUCCUGCUGCUUCUCAGCUCAGGCAGAACAAAGCAGUCUUUUGUUCCCGCAGCUCAGGGCUGGCUCUUUUAGUACCUGGGCAUUUUCUGGAUUCCUGGACUUCCCCAGCAACUCCAGAGCUUACAGCCUGGACCAAAGGGACAAUGCCUUUCUGCUCUCUCUGCUACACAUCCCAGUCAAGACAGCCAUGAGGAUGGAGCUUUGGUCCAGCUGGAACCUGAAGCCAGAUGUCCAGAAGUCUGUUGCUGGCCUUGCUGGAGAGGAGGUGUCAGUUCUGGCACCAUGGACUUUGGAUCAGAAAAUAGAAAUAUACAGAUAUCGAAACAAGCUUGGGGUUUCUUGAGGAGUCCAAGUUGAUGAGCUCUUCCUGCCGAGGAGUCAGUCAAUGGGGAAGGAGGCGGCUGGGAUGGGCGCCCUGCGGAACAGCAGGCUGGAGCCACGGAACAGCUGCCCCUGAGGAGGAGAGCACGGCGUCAGGGCAGCCUGAGACCUGGCCAGGGAACUAAAGCUGCUUUAGCAGGGCCCGACUCCGUGCCCAUGGCAGGGCUGCAAGGCCUGGGCACCCUGGGCUGCUCUGCAGGAGAAAGUGGGGAUCCAGCCCCGUGGGUGCUGGAGCUGGGCAUUUCCCCCAGAGGUGACAGAUGGAGAGGGGCACAGACUCUGCUGUGUGCAAUGCACAGGCUGAAAGCUCGCGGGAUGCGAGCUUGGGGUGUGCAAUGGGCAGAGCAGCACUGCCAUGCUGGUACCAGUGCCACAACUGGAGGGAUAGAAGCAGGCUACAGGGCACGGCAAGGAUGCAGCACAGGCACAUUUGGGGAAUGCUGGAGACUUGGGGAAGGACCAGAGGGAGCCCAAAGCCCAGUGUGUGCACAGCUCCCUCACCUGAGCACUGAGAUGCCUCCAGCAGUGGAUCCAGGAUGCAAAGGCGGGUGCGUAGGGAGGGAGGCCGGCUCGCAACCUGCACGGCAACAGGGAACAGCUGAGGUGGAUGUGUCACCUUACCCACACAGGUAACACAAAAGCAGCAGGAAGUGCCAGUGAGGACACGGCAGGAGGGGGGGGGGGGGCCGUGUCCACACCGGGCCGGUGGCCAAGUGACAGCUCGUUAUUUACAAUGCAG
This is a long non-coding RNA of Corvus hawaiiensis (hawaiian crow), 4706 nucleotides long. RefSeq lists it as uncharacterized. NCBI's taxonomy places the organism in Eukaryota, Metazoa, Chordata, Aves, Passeriformes, Corvidae. The record is from RefSeq and is a predicted model, not a curated record. The transcript is spliced from 2 exons.